Non-coding RNA from Salmo salar (Atlantic salmon), 550 nucleotides. NCBI's taxonomy places the organism in Eukaryota, Metazoa, Chordata, Actinopteri, Salmoniformes, Salmonidae. The record is from RefSeq and is a predicted model, not a curated record.
UCUGAUAUUUCAGACUCCAAGUGAACAACAUUCUUCUGCAUCCAGUCAUUGUGGAAUGCCGGCUGACUAAGACUGACAUGGAGCUGGAGGUGCUGCGAUACACUAACCGGAUUUCCAGUGAAGCCCAUAAAGAGGUUGGUGGUUCCUGGUCCCCUAGCUGAUGCUGUCCCCCACCCCCCGGACAUCAAGUGAGGCCCAGCGUAUGCUGUCAGAUCCUUAUUGGACUCCUGACGUUGUGGGGGUCAACUCCAGUAUCUGGACUGGGAGGGGUAUGGGAGGCGUCUGCUCCUCCCCUCCGGCGUACAACGUCGCCAGAGUACUAACCAGUCAUCAUUACGCACACCUGGCACUCAUCAUUACACACACACCUGUGAAUCAUUAUGACUCACACCUGGACUCCAUUACCUUCAUAAUUUCCUCCCCUUUAUGUCACUCUCCCAUGUGCACUUACCAGUUGGUAUUGUUCUUGUGUCUCGGCGUACGUGUUCGUGUCGUGUUCUUGGUUUUGUUGUUUUAUUAAAAUGUUCACCUGCACCUGCUUCCGACUCAC